RNAcentral lists this ribosomal RNA (1878 nucleotides) under Triticum aestivum (bread wheat). RNAcentral's name for it is "partial small subunit ribosomal RNA". The record is from RNAcentral. Lineage: Eukaryota; Viridiplantae; Streptophyta; Magnoliopsida; Poales; Poaceae.
AUGGCGGUGCUGGGGGCGCAGAAGCUGGUGUACGUGGCGGGGUGGGCGGUGGGCGCUAGGGUGAGGCUGCUGCGGGAGGAGAUGUCGCCGGAGAUGGCGGAGAAGGCGGCGGAGGUGAGGGCGCUGGCCGGCGUGGAGGUGGAGAAGAUGGCGCUGGGGGAUCUGCUCAAGUACAAGUCGCAGGAGGGCGUGCGCGUCUGCCUCCUCGUCUCCGACCACCAUGACACUCCCCUGCACCCCAGCUUCUUCUUAAACACGGGAGGAAUGAUGCAAACUAGUGGCGAAGAAACGAAGAAGUUUUUCAAACAGUCGUCUGUGAUUUGUGUACUCUCGCAUCGCUAUCCUAGAAGCAAAGUCGACAUGGCCAAGCAAAAGGUGGUGGGCACGCCGUACGCGCACAACCAGAAGUGCAUCCUCGUCGACACGCCGGCGUCCGAGGCCACCCGCCGGAUCACGGCCUUCCUGGGCGGCCUUGACCUUGCUGCCGGACGCUACGACACGCCGGCCCACCGGCUCUUCGGAGACCUCGACACCGUCUUCCGGGCCGACAUCCACAACCCCACGCUCGGCCACGCCGCCGCGGAGAACGGGCCCCGUCUGCCGUGGCACGACAUGCACUGCCGCCUCGACGGCGCCGCCGCGUACGACGUCCUCAAGAACUUCGAGCAGCGGUGGCGGAGAGCGACGGCCAAGCACUUGAAGGCGUCCAAGCACGGGAAGGACGAUGCCCUGCUCAAGCUCCAGCGCAUCCCCUGGAUCCUCAGCCCGGUCGUCGCCGACGGCGGGGACGACGCCCUGCGCGUCCUGCCGGAGGAUGAUCCCCGGUGCUGGCACGCGCAGGUGUUCCGGUCGGUGGACGCCGGGUCGGUGAAGGGGUUCCCGCGCUCCUGGGAGACGGAGGAGAUGGAGGCGCGGCACCUGCUCUGCGACAAGAGCCUGGCGGUGGAGCAGAGCAUCCACGCGGCGUACGUGGCGGCGAUCCGCGCCGCCGACCGGUUCGUGUACCUCGAGACCGAGCGCUUCCUGGGGUCAUCGUACGCGUGGCCGACGCCGUUCCGGCACCCGGGCGCCGGCAACCUGGUGCCGAUGGAGAUUGCGCUGAAGGCGGCGAGCAAGAUCAGGGCCGGCGAGGACUUCGCGGCGUACGUGGUGCUGCCGAUGUGGCCGGCGGCGGAGGGGCCGCCUGGGUCGGCGCCGGCGCAGGAGGCCCUCUUCUGGCAGGGGAAGACGAUGCAGGCGAUGUACGAGGUCGUCGCGUCGGCGAUCGUGGAGGCCGGGGACGGCGGCAGAGCGCACCCGCAGGACUAUCUCAACUUCUACUGCCUCGGCAACCGCGAACAGGCACCGGCGGAUCUGUACGGACGGGCGGCGGAGACAGGGGCGAGCCCGGCGGCGCUGGCGCGGAGGCACGGGCGGUUCAUGGUGUACGUGCACUCCAAGGGGAUGGUCGUGGACGACGAGUACGUGCUCCUCGGCUCCGCGAACGUCAACCAGCGCUCCCUCUCUGGCUCCCGCGACACCGAGAUUGCCGUCGGCGCGCACCAGCCGCACCACACCGGCCGGCGGCCGCGCGGGCAGGUGCACCGGUACAGGAUGUCGCUGUGGGAGGAACACCUGGGCGGGCUGGCUGAGGUGCUGAAGGCGCCGGAGUCGCCAGAGUGCGUGAGGCUGGUGAACCAGGUGGCCCGGGAGAACUGGGAGAGGUACGCGGACGAGGGGGAGGUGGUAGAGAAGAUGCAGGGGCACCUGAUGAGGUAUCCGGUGGAGGUGGACGACGACGGCAGCGUGUGGCCGCUGACGGGGCACGAGUUCUUCCCCGACGUCGGCGCCAGGGUCCUCGGCUCCACCAACAAGUUCCCCGAUCAUCUCACUAUGUAG